CUUACUUACUUUGUUAAAUAUGCUAGCCUGGAAAAGUUUACUUUGAAUUUAUGUUCUAAAACAUUUUUUUAACAAAGUAAUUUUAAUUCUGAUAUUUAACUUGAUAGGCACUCUGUGUAUCCAAAUGUAAAGACAUCAUACAGAAUAAUUCUAUGCCAUUAUAAAGCUUAAACACAACUGGCGAAAAAAAUGCUUUUCCCCAUUUUAUAUCAAAAAGAGAUACUUUAGUUUGGACUCAAAGAAUGAAAGUACUCAGAAAAGUGUAAGGACUUUGUUUUUCUAGAAAUAUUAAGCAACAUAAACACUGGGGACAGAACUUUAUGCGUCAAAAGUUUUGUUCUAGAAUUAAGGAGUGAAGUCAAUAUGUCAUUUUGUGGUAUAGCCUAUUUAAGACUAUAUAUACACUAAAACCUGUAAUUAAUAACAUUACCAUUGAAUCAAUAAAAAUGUCAGUACCUGA
Molecule: non-coding RNA, 460 nt
Filed under: Pan troglodytes (chimpanzee)
Lineage: Eukaryota; Metazoa; Chordata; Mammalia; Primates; Hominidae
Source: RNAcentral